Non-coding RNA from Acanthosepion pharaonis, 103 nucleotides. The record is from the annotation of a GenBank genome assembly. Lineage: Eukaryota; Metazoa; Mollusca; Cephalopoda; Sepiida; Sepiidae.
GUCAAAUCACGAUGAAAGCGCCGUUUUUCGUUCGAUCACCAAAGUUAAGCACCGUUGGACCUGGUUAGUACUUAGAUGGGGGCCCGCUUGGGAACACCGGUUG